GUAGGUGGCAGCGUUGUCCGGGAAUUAUUGGGGCGUAAAGCGCGCGCAGGCGGUUCUUUAAGUCUGAUGUGAAAGCCCACGGGCUCAACCGUGGAGGGUCAUUGGAAACUGGAGAACUUGAGUACAGAAGAGGAAAGCGGAAUUCCACGUGUAGCGGUGAAAUGCGUAGAGAUGUGGAGGAACACCAGUGGCGAAGGCGGCUUUCUGGUCUGUAACUGACGCUGAGGCGCGAAAGCGUGGGGAGCAAACAGGAUUAGAUACCCUGGUAGUCCACGCCGUAAACGAUGAGUGCUAAGUGUUAGGGGGUCUCCGCCCCUUAGUGCUGCAGCUAACGCAUUAAGCACUCCGCCUGGGGAGUACGGCCGCAAAGGCUG
This 374-nucleotide ribosomal RNA is filed under the name uncultured organism. RNAcentral describes it as "partial 16S ribosomal RNA". It matches the Rfam family "Bacterial small subunit ribosomal RNA", at positions 527 to 896 of the family's 1533-position model. The record is from RNAcentral.